RNAcentral lists this ribosomal RNA (220 nucleotides) under uncultured bacterium. Its description in RNAcentral is "partial 16S ribosomal RNA". It matches the Rfam family "Bacterial small subunit ribosomal RNA", at positions 111 to 334 of the family's 1533-position model. The record is from RNAcentral.
UAAUGUCUGGGAAACUGCCUGAUGGAGGGGGAUAACUACUGGAAACGGCAGCUAAUACCGCAUAACGUCGCGAGACCAAAGAGGGGGACCUUCGGGCCUCAUGCCAUCAGAUGUGCCCAGAUGGGAUUAGCUAGUAGGUGGGGUAACGGCUCACCUAGGCGACGAUCCCUAGCUGGUCUGAGAGGAUGACCAGCCACACUGGAACUGAGACACGGUCCAG